RNAcentral lists this ribosomal RNA (500 nucleotides) under Enterobacter hormaechei subsp. xiangfangensis. RNAcentral describes it as "bacterial SSU rRNA". It matches the Rfam family "Bacterial small subunit ribosomal RNA", at positions 107 to 603 of the family's 1533-position model. The record is from RNAcentral. Lineage: Bacteria; Pseudomonadati; Pseudomonadota; Gammaproteobacteria; Enterobacterales; Enterobacteriaceae.
UGAGUAAUGUCUGGGAAACUGCCUGAUGGAGGGGGAUAACUACUGGAAACGGUAGCUAAUACCGCAUAACGUCGCAAGACCAAAGAGGGGGACCUUCGGGCCUCUUGCCAUCGGAUGUGCCCAGAUGGGAUUAGCUAGUAGGUGGGGUAACGGCUCACCUAGGCGACGAUCCCUAGCUGGUCUGAGAGGAUGACCAGCCACACUGGAACUGAGACACGGUCCAGACUCCUACGGGAGGCAGCAGUGGGGAAUAUUGCACAAUGGGCGCAAGCCUGAUGCAGCCAUGCCGCGUGUAUGAAGAAGGCCUUCGGGUUGUAAAGUACUUUCAGCGGGGAGGAAGGCGAUAAGGUUAAUAACCUUGUCGAUUGACGUUACCCGCAGAAGAAGCACCGGCUAACUCCGUGCCAGCAGCCGCGGUAAUACGGAGGGUGCAAGCGUUAAUCGGAAUUACUGGGCGUAAAGCGCACGCAGGCGGUCUGUCAAGUCGGAUGUGAAAUCCC